AAGUCGUAACAAGGUCUCCGUAGGUGAACCUGCGGAGGGAUCAUUACUGAGUGAGGGCCCUCGUGGUCCGACCUCCAACCCUUUGUCGUCCGGCUCUGUUGCCUCGGGGGCGUCCCCGGCGUUCGCGCCAGGGGCCCCCGGCGGUCCACACAACUCUGCAUCUUUGCGUCUGAGUAAACAUUAAAUGAAACAAAA
This 195-nucleotide unclassified non-coding RNA is filed under the name plant metagenome. Its description in RNAcentral is "partial contains small subunit ribosomal RNA and internal transcribed spacer 1". The stretch from base 1 to 46 matches the Rfam family "Eukaryotic small subunit ribosomal RNA", at positions 1786 to 1831 of the family's 1831-position model. The record is from RNAcentral.